This 253-nucleotide ribosomal RNA is filed under the name uncultured bacterium. Its description in RNAcentral is "partial 16S ribosomal RNA". It matches the Rfam family "Bacterial small subunit ribosomal RNA", at positions 524 to 776 of the family's 1533-position model. The record is from RNAcentral.
UACGUAGGGGGCUAGCGUUGUCCGGAAUCAUUGGGCGUAAAGAGCGUGUAGGCGGUCCGGUAAGUCCGCUGUGAAAGUCGGGGGCUCAACCCUCGAAUGCCGGUGGAUACUGUCGGGCUAGAGUGCGGAAGAGGCGAGUGGAAUUCCUGGUGUAGCGGUGAAAUGCGCAGAUAUCAGGAGGAAUACCAAUGGCGAAGGCAGCACUCUGGGACGUGACUGACGCUGAGACGCGAAAGCGUGGGGAGCAAACAGG